RNAcentral lists this long non-coding RNA (2866 nucleotides) under Homo sapiens (human). Its description in RNAcentral is "HSALNT0158290". Lineage: Eukaryota; Metazoa; Chordata; Mammalia; Primates; Hominidae. The record is from RNAcentral.
AUGAGGGACGGACGGUUUCAGGAGAGGAGGAGGUGUUUCAUCCUGAAUAGCUAAGAACAGCACCACUAGAAUGGGUGGAUUUACAGUCACUUAGGGAAGUAAAGUGUCAAUUAAAUCCCCCGGUAAUAUAGUGCCUAAUAUUACCUAAAAUAUGCACACAUUGAGUUCUGAUUAGUGCCUAGCAGUGUGAGGUGGGGGAGGCUGUGAUUUGGGUCGGGCUGGUCCUGCCUGCAAGGAGCACAGCCCUGGGGUGAGACAAACCCGCAGUACUCGGGGAGUCCGCUCUGUGCUGUGAAAUUCCAAGCCAGGAGGUGGCAGCCUCAGCCAAGAGGAAGAAGUCCUUGGGGAACAGGGGGGUGAGCAGUGAGAAACAGGGUGUCUUUUGAUCCCUGCUCUCCCACUUCCUAAUGUCUGAAGAAGGGUUUAAACGGGGAAAGUCACACCACAAGAUAUAUUUUAAAAAGUUAGGCAGGAAGAAAAUGGAAAUCUGCAUCUAUACAAGGGAAUAAAGAACGUAAGUGGUUUUAAAAAAGUGGUGGGGGGAGUUAAGAGUCUUAUUUCUUGCCAGGCACGGUGGCUCAAGCCUGUAAUCCCAGCACUUUGGAGGCUGAGGCGGUUGGAUCACCUGAGGUCAGGAGUUCGAGACCAGCCUGGCCAACAUGGUGAAACACUGUCUCUGCCAAAAAUACAAAAAUUAGCCAGGUGUGGUGGUGUACGCUUGUAAUCCCAGCUACUUGGGAGGCUGAGGCAGGAGGAUCACUUGAACCCAGGAGGUGGAGGUUGCAGUGAGCUGAGAUUGCACCAUUGCACUCCAGCCUGGACAGCAGAGCAAGACUCUGUCUCAAAAAAAAAGUCUUAUUUCUUGAUCAAGAAAAAUCAAGGCAAAAUAUAAAAGGUGAAGAGUAAUCCUUUUUCUUCAAGGCAAAUGUGUAGGGCAGGGAAGGAGAGAAGAGGAGGAGAUGUGAAUCAUUUAGACUUGUGGCAGCUGAAGACGUGGGGACUGAAGGCCUCACAGCUAUAGAACUUUCUUUUUUUAUUUUGGACUCAGGAGAACAUGUACAGGUUGUUACACGGGUAUAUUGUGUGAUGCUGAGAUUUAGAAUACGGUGCUCCCAUCACCCUUCAGAGUUCUGUGUACUCUUUCCAUUUCAACAUAAAAAUAAAAAAGGACGGACUCUUCCCAGCACCUGGCAGAUGCUGACCUCCUGGUCAUUCUGCCCAUUCAUUCACCCAAAUAUUUGCUGGCAUUUACUGAGUGCUGAGGACUGAAAGGCAAUUGCACUUCCUGAUGGCCCUGAAAGGUACAGUGGAUGGGUGCCAAAGGACCUGUGUUGAUUCCUUCCUUCCCUUUCAUCAUUCCUGGCCGCUUGAACCUGGGCCAGCCUUGUGACUCGCUUCGACGGAUAGAAUGCCACAAAAGUGAUGCGUGCCAGUGUCUGGACCAGCCUGUCAGGGGCCUGGCAGUUUCUAUGUUCUUUCAGCCAGUGUGACUAGCCUGAGCCCACCGUGCUGUGAGGAAGCCCAAGCAGCCACGUGGAGAAGCCUCCUCUGAUUUUGAUGAAGGCAUCUAAGCUGAAGGCAGGCAGAUAUCGGUGAAAAAAAUGGUCAGGUGUGGUGGCUCAUGCCUGUAAUCCCAGCACUUUGGGAGGCCGAGGCAGGCAGACUGCUUGGGCUCACAAGUUCAAGAGACCAUCCUGGCCAUCAUGGCAAAACCCUGGCUCUACUAAAAAUACAAAAAAUUAGGCGGGCAUGGUGGUGGGCACCUGUAGUCCCAGCUACUCGGGAAGGCUGAGGCAGGAGAAUGGCAUGGACCCAGGAGGCGGAGCUUGCAGUGAGCCGAGAUUGUGCCACUGCACUCCAGCCUGGGCGACAGAGCAAGACUCAGUCUCAAAAAAAAAAAAAAAAAAAAAAAAAAAAAAAAUAUUAGCCAGGUGUUGUGGUGUGUGCCUGUGCCUGUAGUCCCAGCUACUCCAGAGGCUGAGGCAUGAGAAUUGCUUGAGGCGGAGGUUGCAGUGAGCCAAGAUUGCAUCACUGCACUCCAGCCUGGGUGACACAGUGAGACUCUGUCCCCUCCCCCACAAAAAAAGAAGUCAGUGAAAAAUGGCACUUUGAGAAUGUCUGAUGACAUGUGGAUUGGGCACUAUGCCCAUGCCCCAUCUCCCAAAUGCUCACAGUGGCUCCCUCUUCCCCCUGGCUGUACAAGGGGCAGUUGGUGGCUGGUUUUCAGCCAGGACUGCUCCCCUCCCGCCCCACCUACACUUCUUAUUACUUUUGUUUUUUAAAAAAAUUUUGGCUGGGCGCCGUGGCUCACGCCUGUAAUCCCAGUACUUUAGGAGGCCGAGGUGAGUGAAUCACUUGAGAUUAGGAGUUUGAGACCAGUCUGGCCAACAUAGCAAAACCCUAUCUCUACUAAGAAAAUAUAAAUAUUAGCAGGGUGUGGCGGCACAUGCCUGUAGUUCCAGCUACUUGGGAGGCUGAGGUAGAAUUGCUUGAACCUGGAAGGCAGAGGCUGCAGUGAGCUGAGAUCUCGCCAUUGCACUCCAGCCUGGGUGACAGAGCAAGACUGCUUCAAGAAAAAAAUUUUUUUUAUAGAGAUGGGGUCUCACUAUGUUGCCCAGGGUGUUCUUGAACUCCUGGGCUCGAUCAAUCCUCCUGCCUCGGCCUCCUGAAGUGCUGGGAUCACAGGUGUGAGUCACUGCGCCCAGUGUCCCAGCUCCUGCUCUGAUCCAGCUCUGGCAUUAACCAAGCUUCAUGGCUGCAGGCAGAACAAUUUCUCCAGUCCUCAAUUUCUCCUUGGUGAUUCUCUUAAUGCAUUUUAAAAAUAUUGAAAAUAGAUGUUUUAUUUUGUUUAUACAAGGUACAAUGU